This 141-nucleotide small RNA is filed under the name Arabidopsis thaliana (thale cress). Its description in RNAcentral is "ATSL200960". Lineage: Eukaryota; Viridiplantae; Streptophyta; Magnoliopsida; Brassicales; Brassicaceae. The record is from RNAcentral.
UAAAGACUACUUUAGCUUCCGAGAUCUGGUUGCGGUUCUAGUUCUUAUACUCCAUCAUACACAUGUCAUCUAGUCUAUUUGACUCCAAAACGAUAAUCAAGAUUCUACUGUGUUCUUAGUGUACAUUUGCUCCUAAACACU